UGGGGAAUAUUGGACAAUGGGGGGAACCCUGAUCCAGCCAUGCUGCGUGUGUGAAGAAGGCCUUAUGGUUGUAAAGCACUUUAAGCGAGGAGGAGGGUACUGGUAUUAAUACUACCAGCUACUGGACGUUACUCGCAGAAUAAGCACCGGCUAACUCUGUGCCAGCAGCCGCGGUAAUACAGAGGGUGCGAGCGUUAAUCGGAAUUACUGGGCGUAAAGCGCGCGUAGGUGGUUCGUUAAGUUGAAUGUGAAAGCCCCGGGCUCAACCUGGGAACUGCAUCCAAAACUGGCGAGCUAGAGUAGGGCAGAGGGUGGUGGAAUUUCCUGUGUAGCGGUGAAAUGCGUAGAUAUAGGAAGGAACACCAGUGGCGAAGGCGACCACCUGGGCUCAUACUGACACUGAGGUGCGAAAGCGUGGGGAGCAAACAGG
RNAcentral lists this ribosomal RNA (430 nucleotides) under Pseudomonadota bacterium. RNAcentral describes it as "Proteobacteria bacterium partial 16S ribosomal RNA". It matches the Rfam family "Bacterial small subunit ribosomal RNA", at positions 355 to 776 of the family's 1533-position model. Lineage: Bacteria; Pseudomonadati; Pseudomonadota. The record is from RNAcentral.